Molecule: non-coding RNA, 27 nt
Filed under: Mus musculus (house mouse)
Lineage: Eukaryota; Metazoa; Chordata; Mammalia; Rodentia; Muridae
Source: RNAcentral
UAGGUGGGGCUAGCAACCGUGGCAAAA